CCUACGGGAGGCAGCAGUGAGGAAUAUUGGUCAAUGGACGCAAGUCUGAACCAGCCAUGCCGCGUGCAGGAAGACGGCUCUAUGAGUUGUAAACUGCUUUUGUACGAGGGUAAACGCAGAUACGCGUAUCUGUCUGAAAGUAUCGUACGAAUAAGGAUCGGCUAACUCCGUGCCAGCAGCCGCGGUAAUACGGAGGAUUCAAGCGUUAUCCGGAUUUAUUGGGUUUAAAGGGUGCGUAGGCGGGCGGAUAAGUUAGAGGUUAAAUCCCGGGGCUCAACUUCGGAAGUGCCUCUGAGACUGGUCGGCUAGAGAGUAGUUGAGGUAGGCGGAAUGUAUGGUGUAGCGGUGAAAUGCUUAGAGAUCAUACAGAACACCGAUUGCGAAGGCAGCGUACCAAGCUACUUCUGACGUUGAGGCACGAAAGCGUGGGGAGCAAACAGGAUUAGAUACCCGAGUAGUC
RNAcentral lists this ribosomal RNA (460 nucleotides) under uncultured bacterium. RNAcentral describes it as "partial 16S ribosomal RNA". It matches the Rfam family "Bacterial small subunit ribosomal RNA", at positions 338 to 795 of the family's 1533-position model. The record is from RNAcentral.